UACGGGGGGAGCAAGCGUUGUUCGGAUUUACUGGGCGUAAAGGGCGCGUAGGCGGAAUGGCAAGUCGGUCGUGAAAUCCUUCGGCUCAACCGAAGAACGUCGAUCGAAACUGCCGUUCUUGAGGAUUGCAGAGGAGACUGGAAUUCCCGGUGUAGCGGUGAAAUGUGUAGAGAUCGGGAGGAACACCGGUGGCGAAGGCGGGUCUCUGGGCAAUUCCUGACGCUGAGGCGCGAAAGCGUGGGGAGCAAACGGG
Molecule: ribosomal RNA, 253 nt
Filed under: uncultured bacterium
Lineage: Bacteria
Description: partial 16S ribosomal RNA
Rfam family: Bacterial small subunit ribosomal RNA
Source: RNAcentral